RNAcentral lists this transfer RNA (66 nucleotides) under Aculamprotula scripta. RNAcentral describes it as "tRNA-Asn". The record is from RNAcentral. Lineage: Eukaryota; Metazoa; Mollusca; Bivalvia; Unionida; Unionidae.
AGGGAAGAAGCUACAAAUAUAGCAAUUAGUUGUUACCUAAUAGAAAGUGAGCGUUCACCUACCCUA